GACGAACGCUGGCGGCGUGCUUAACACAUGCAAGUCGAACGGAAAGGCCCUGCUUGCAGGGUACUCUCGUGGCGAACGGGUGAGUAACACGUGGGUGUUCUGCCCUGCACUUCGGGAUAAGCCUGGGAAACUGGGUCUAAUACCGCAUAGGAGCCAUUUUUAGUGUGAUGGUUGGAAAGUUUUUUCGGUGUGGGAUGAGCUCGCGGCCUAUCUGCUUGUUGGUGGGGUAAUGGCCUACCAAGGCGGCGACGGGUAGCCGGCCUGGGAGGGUGGACGGCCACAAUGGGACUGAGGUACGGCCCAGACUCCGACGGGAGGCAGCAGGGGGGAAUAUUGCACAAUGGGCGCAAGCCUGAUGCAGCGACGCCGCGGGGGGGAAGACGGCCUUCGGGUUGGAAACUCCUUUCGCUAGGGACGAAGCUUUUUGUGACGGUACCUAGAAAAGAAGCACCGGCUAACUACGUG
RNAcentral lists this ribosomal RNA (465 nucleotides) under uncultured bacterium. RNAcentral describes it as "partial 16S ribosomal RNA". It matches the Rfam family "Bacterial small subunit ribosomal RNA", at positions 28 to 507 of the family's 1533-position model. The record is from RNAcentral.